RNAcentral lists this ribosomal RNA (1153 nucleotides) under gut metagenome. Its description in RNAcentral is "bacterial SSU rRNA". It matches the Rfam family "Bacterial small subunit ribosomal RNA", at positions 90 to 1247 of the family's 1533-position model. The record is from RNAcentral.
GGCGACCGGCGCACGGGUGAGUAACGCGUAUGCAACCUGCCUGAUACCGGGGUAUAGCCCAUGGAAACGUGGAUUAACACCCCAUAGUACUUUUAUCCUGCAUGGGAUGUGAGUUAAAUGUUCAAGGUAUCGGAUGGGCAUGCGUCCUAUUAGUUAGUUGGCGGGGUAACAGCCCACCAAGACGAUGAUAGGUAGGGGUUCUGAGAGGAAGGUCCCCCACAUUGGAACUGAGACACGGUCCAAACUCCUACGGGAGGCAGCAGUGAGGAAUAUUGGUCAAUGGACGUAAGUCUGAACCAGCCAAGUCGCGUGAGGGAAGACUGCCCUAUGGGUUGUAAACCUCUUUUAUAAGGGAAGAAUAAGUUCUACGUGUAGAAUGAUGCCUGUACCUUAUGAAUAAGCAUCGGCUAACUCCGUGCCAGCAGCCGCGGUAAUACGGAGGAUGCGAGCGUUAUCCGGAUUUAUUGGGUUUAAAGGGUGCGUAGGCGGUUUAUUAAGUUAGUGGUUAAAUAUUUGAGCUAAACUCAAUUGUGCCAUUAAUACUGGUAAACUGGAGUACAGACGAGGUAGGCGGAAUAAGUUAAGUAGCGGUGAAAUGCAUAGAUAUAACUUAGAACUCCGAUAGCGAAGGCAGCUUACCAGACUGUAACUGACGCUGAUGCACGAGAGCGUGGGUAGCGAACAGGAUUAGAUACCCUGGUAGUCCACGCCGUAAACGAUGCUCACUGGUUCUGUGCGAUAUAUUGUACGGGAUUAAGCGAAAGUAUUAAGUGAGCCACCUGGGGAGUACGUCGGCAACGAUGAAACUCAAAGGAAUUGACGGGGGCCCGCACAAGCGGAGGAACAUGUGGUUUAAUUCGAUGAUACGCGAGGAACCUUACCUGGGUUUAAAUGGGAAAUGUCGUAUUUGGAAACAGAUAUUCUCUUCGGAGCGUUUUUCAAGGUGCUGCAUGGUUGUCGUCAGCUCGUGCCGUGAGGUGUCGGGUUAAGUCCCAUAACGAGCGCAACCCUUACCGUUAGUUGCUAGCAUGUAAUGAUGAGCACUCUAACGGGACUGCCACCGUAAGGUGAGAGGAAGGCGGGGAUGACGUCAAAUCAGCACGGCCCUUACACCCAGGGCUACACACGUGUUACAAUGGCCGGUACAGAGGGC